Molecule: transfer RNA, 71 nt
Filed under: Camelus bactrianus (Bactrian camel)
Lineage: Eukaryota; Metazoa; Chordata; Mammalia; Artiodactyla; Camelidae
Also listed under: 2 other names
Rfam family: tRNA
About the family: Transfer RNA (tRNA) molecules are approximately 80 nucleotides in length. Their secondary structure includes four short double-helical elements and three loops (D, anti-codon, and T loops).
Source: Rfam by way of RNAcentral
AGGGCAUAGCUCAGGGGUAGAGCACGUGCUUAGUGUGCAAGAGGUCCUGGGCUCCAUCCCCAGUAGCUCUA